UGAAACAAUGAUUGUGUGUGUGUGUGUGUGUGUGUGUGUGUGUGUGUGUGUGUGUGUGUGUGUGUGUGUGUGUGUGUGUGUGUGUGCAUGCAUGCAUGUUUGUGUUUACAAAUGUUUUAAUGAAGGUUGAGGUUGGUUAAUAAAACCACAGUGCACAGAAUGUUCACUUAUAGAAAUAAAAACACAUGUCAGUGGGCAGUUUUUUUAAGACUCUAAUUAGUAAGAAAAAACUUAACAUAACAUAACAUCUCCUGCCGUUUAGGAGACCAAAGCAUGGUUGUUAUAUAUUCUGUAAAGCUAAUUACACCUCAUUGCUGCUGAAUUCUCUGGAUUGUUUUGCAGACAUUUCACAACAUUCAAUGUACCUGUAAAUGGAUAAAAAGUGGCAUAACAGGAAUAAAACACUUGGGCACAUGCUAUUGGAAUAUAUUCAGUUCCACAGUAGAUAAAGUAGAACCGGCAGAGUACAGGUGAUCAGAUUAGGGUGAACAACAAGGCUGCUGGAUUGUGUUGUUCUAGGAGACAUGACAGUUUUGUUAGGACCUGCUGUAGUGUUGUAGUAUUGUGAUAUUGUAGCAGAUGUAGCUGACUCAGUCACCAUGGUAACGUAUGUUCCCAUUGUAGUCGUGUUGUCCGUGGAAGUCACAGACGUUGGCCUCCAUGGAUUCACAGUGGUGCCAUUUGGUGUCAUCAUUGUGAUGGGGUCAUUUGCAGGUAUUGUGAUGGUUGAUAGCAUCACAUGAGUGGCAUUUACUGGCAGUGAGGUGGUAGAUGCUCUACGUGAAGUCAUCACUGUGGUGGUAGCGUUUAAAGGUACUGUAGAUGUUCUACGUGAAGUCAUCACUAAGGUGGUAGCAUUUAAAGGUACUGUAGAUGUUCUGUGUGAAGUCAUCACUGUGGUGGUAGCAUUUAAAGGUACUGUAGAUGUUCUACGUGAAGUCAUCACUGUGGUGGUAGCAUUUAAAGGUCCUGUAGAUGUUCUACGUGAAGUCAUCACUGUGGUGGUAGUGUUUAAAGGUACUGUAGAUGUUCUAUGUGAAGGCAUCACUGUGAUGGUAGUGUAUAAAGGUAUUGUAGAUGCUCUAUUUGAAGACAUUACAGGGGUGGCAUUUAGAGGUCUUAUGGUAGUGGUGACAUUCUUCACCAUUGGUCUUGUGGUGUUGUUUGAUGGAAAGAAAGUGGUGGCAUUUGAAGGCAUCUUUGUGAUUCUAGCAUUUGAAGGAACUGUAGAGGUAAGAUUCAUUAGUAUUGGAGUGGAGUUGUUCGAUGACAUCAAAAUGGUGGUAUUGGGUGGCAUCACUGUGAUUGUAGUAUUCAAGGUUAUCGUAGAUGUUCUAUUUGAAGAUGUCACAGUGAGGUUUAUAGGAACUGUAGUGGUGACACUCAUUACCCUUGGAGGGGUGUGGUUGUUUGGUGUCAUUGGGGUUGCAGUUGAUUGAGUUAUGUUAUUUGUGGUGCUGGUUUGUGAUGGCAUCAACAAGGUGGUGUUCAUUGGUCUUAUGAUUGUUCCAUUAGUCGUUGUGGAAUGGGUUGUUGCCUUUGUAGUUGAAAAGGUCUUUGUGUUUGUUACCUG
Long non-coding RNA from Ictalurus punctatus (channel catfish), 1573 nucleotides. The record is from Ensembl. Lineage: Eukaryota; Metazoa; Chordata; Actinopteri; Siluriformes; Ictaluridae.